RNAcentral lists this ribosomal RNA (283 nucleotides) under uncultured bacterium. RNAcentral's name for it is "partial 16S ribosomal RNA". It matches the Rfam family "Bacterial small subunit ribosomal RNA", at positions 333 to 633 of the family's 1533-position model. The record is from RNAcentral.
UAUGACCUACGGGGGGCAGCAGUGGGGAAUAUUGGACAAUGGGGGGAACCCUGAUCCAGCGACGCCGCGUGGGUGAAGAAGCGCCUCGGCGCGUAAAGCCCUGUCAGCAGGGAAGAAAAUGACGGUACCUGAAGAAGAAGCCCCGGCUAACUACGUGCCAGCAGCCGCGGUAAUACGUAGGGGGCAAGCGUUAUCCGGAUUUACUGGGUGUAUAGGGGGCGCAGACGGCGAUGCAGGCCAGGAGUGGAAGCCCGGGGCGCAACCCGGGGCGUGCUCUUGGAAC